This 497-nucleotide ribosomal RNA is filed under the name uncultured bacterium. RNAcentral describes it as "partial 16S ribosomal RNA". It matches the Rfam family "Bacterial small subunit ribosomal RNA", at positions 28 to 507 of the family's 1533-position model. The record is from RNAcentral.
GAUGAACGCUGGCGGCGUGCCUAAUACAUGCAAGUCGAGCGAACGGACGAGAAGCUUGCUUCUCUGAUGUUAGCGGCGGACGGGUGGGUAACACGUGGAUAACCUACCUAUAAGACUGGGAUAACUUCGGGAAACCGGAGCUAAUACCGGAUGAUAUCUUGAACCGCAUGGUUCAAAAGUGAAAGACGGUCUUGCUGUCACUUAUAGAUGGAUCCGCGCUGCAUUAGCUAGUUGGUAAGGUAACGGCUUACCAAGGCAACGAUGCAUAGCCGACCUGAGAGGGUGAUCGGCCACACUGGAACUGAGACACGGUCCAGACUCCUACGGGAGGCAGCAGUAGGGAAUCUUCCGCAAUGGGCGAAAGCCUGACGGAGCAACGCCGCGUGAGUGAUGAAGGUCUUCGGAUCGUAAAACUCUGUUAUUAGGGAAGAACAUAUGUGUAAGUAACUGUGCACGUCUUGACGGUACCUAAUCAGAAAGCCACGGCUAACUACGUG